ACUCAAAUGAAUAGACGGGGGCCCGCACAAGCAGUGGAGUAUGUGGUUUAAUUCGAAGCAACGCGAAGAACCUUACCAGGGCUUGACAUCUUCCGCAUAGCAUAGAGAUAUGCGAAACCCUUCGGGGCGGAAUGACAGGUGGUGCAUGGUUGUCGUCAGCUCGUGUCGUGAGAUGUUGGGUUAAGUCCCGCAACGAGCGCAACCCCUAUUGUUAGUUGCCAUCAUUAAGUUGGGCACUCUAGCGAGACUGCCGGUGACAAAUCGGAGGAAGGUGGGGACGACGUCAAAUCAUCAUGCCCCUUAUGUCCUGGGCUACACACGUACUACAAUGGCCAUCAACAACGGGACGCGAAGCCGCGAGGCGGAGCCAAACCCCAAAAAUGGUCUCAGUUCGGAUCGCAGGCUGCAACUCGCCUGCGUGAAGUCGGAAUUGCUAGUAAUCGCGGAUCAUCAUGCCGCGGUGAAUACGUUCCCGGGCCUUGUACACACCGCCCGU
This 496-nucleotide ribosomal RNA is filed under the name uncultured bacterium. RNAcentral describes it as "bacterial SSU rRNA". It matches the Rfam family "Bacterial small subunit ribosomal RNA", at positions 899 to 1397 of the family's 1533-position model. The record is from RNAcentral.